AGUGAACGCUGGCGGUAGGCCUAACACAUGCAAGUCGAACGGCAGCACAGUAAGAGCUUGCUCUUACGGGUGGCGAGUGGCGGACGGGUGAGGAAUACAUCGGAAUCUACUUUUUCGUGGGGGAUAACGUAGGGAAACUUACGCUAAUACCGCAUACGACCUACGGGUGAAAGCAGGGGAUCUUCGGACCUUGCGCGAUUGAAUGAGCCGAUGUCGGAUUAGCUAGUUGGCGGGGUAAAGGCCCACCAAGGCGACGAUCCGUAGCUGGUCUGAGAGGAUGAUCAGCCACACUGGAACUGAGACACGGUCCAGACUACUACGGGAGGCAGCAGUGGGGAAUAUUGGACAAUGGGCGCAAGCCUGAUCCAGACAUACCGCGUGGGUGAAGAAGGCCUUCGGGUUGUAAAGCCCUUUUGUUGGGAAAGAAAAGCAGCAGGUUAAUACCCCGCUGUUCUGACGGUACCCAAAGAAUAAGCACCGGCUAACUUCGUG
This 492-nucleotide ribosomal RNA is filed under the name uncultured bacterium. RNAcentral's name for it is "partial 16S ribosomal RNA". It matches the Rfam family "Bacterial small subunit ribosomal RNA", at positions 29 to 507 of the family's 1533-position model. The record is from RNAcentral.